AUUCUGGUUGAUCCUGCCAGUAGUUAUAUGCUUGUCUCAAAGAUUAAGCCAUGCAUGUCUAAGUACACACGAAUUAAAAGUGAAACCGCAAAAGGCUCAUUAUAUCAGUUAUGGUUCCUUAGAUCGUUAACAGUUACUUGGAUAACUGUGGUAAUUCUAGAGCUAAUACAUGCAAUUAAAACAUGAACCUUAUGGGACAUGUGCUUUUAUUAGGCUAAAACCAAGCGAUCGCAAGAUCGUUAUAUUGGUUGAACUCUAGAUAACAUGCAGAUCGUAUGGUCUUGUACCGACGACAGAUCUUUCAAAUGUCUGCCCUAUCAACUUUUGAUGGUAGUAUCUAGGACUACCAUGGUUGCAACGGGUAACGGGGAAUCAGGGUUCGAUUCCGGAGAGGGAGCCUGAGAAACGGCUACCACAUCUAAGGAAGGCAGCAGGCGCGUAAAUUACCCACUCCCAGCUCGGGGAGGUAGUGACGAAAAAUAACAAUACAGGACUCAUAUCCGAGGCCCUGUAAUUGGAAUGAGUACACUUUAAAUCCUUUAACAAGGACCAAUUGGAGGGCAAGUCUGGUGCCAGCAGCCGCGGUAAUUCCAGCUCCAAUAGCGUAUAUUAAAGUUGUUGCGGUUAGAA
This 630-nucleotide non-coding RNA is filed under the name Drosophila sechellia. RNAcentral describes it as "Eukaryotic small subunit ribosomal RNA". It matches the Rfam family "Eukaryotic small subunit ribosomal RNA", at positions 1 to 624 of the family's 1831-position model. The record is from Rfam by way of RNAcentral. Lineage: Eukaryota; Metazoa; Arthropoda; Insecta; Diptera; Drosophilidae.